GAAAAUCUCACUUUGGCUUUCCAGCAUUUAAUAAUAAAAUCACAUCAAUUAUGAAAAUAACAUUUCAUUAUUGCUUAUGGUCUGCGUGACCCUGAACGGAAAUUAAUGUCUAAGACACUGUAAAUUUUUGUUUCAAACACACACACAAAAGCCUUUGCCUGGAAAAGACUCUCAAGACAUAAUUCACCAGUUCAGCCUACUAUAAUGGCAUUAGGCUGACAGCCACUGGACAUCACUGGCCCAUCCUGAGCUCUCAAGCACUCUUGUGCAAACCUGUGCAACCUUCUGACAGUCCCCCAUAGGAAAAAGAGGCAGAUUGUGACCCAAUAAGAUGAUGACAAAUGGCUUUUGCGGGGGAAAGGAGGGAGCCUAAUGUAGAAAGAAAGUGAAGGUUCCUUGUGUAUGUCCAUUCAAGGAAAAUUAUGCAAGCAGUAUGAGAUUACAUUUGAUUCAGUGGUUUCUUUACCAGUUACUUAGCUUUCCAGUUAAUGCUACCAAUGUGGUUACUGGAGCAGAGGGAACAAAGUUCCCAUGAUUGUAAUCAGGCAAAAUAAGCCACUUCCUCUUCUAAGUGCUAAUCAACAUUUUCCUUUUGCCAUCCUAAGCAGUUGCAGAGGGAAUAUUGCCCCUUCUGUGAGGCCAAAAGAGCUAGGCAGCCAAAACACAGCCUUGCUAGAUUUGCACAGCCCUCUCUGUGGCCAUGGAGGGCUGGAUGUAACACCCAGGGCAACUUUCUGAAACGUGCCAGCAGCCCUCAGGCUCCUGCCCAGCUUCUGCUUUCUUUCUCCUAUCACUCACCCUCAUCAUGUCAUGCCCUCCUUCCGACUGCCUCCGAUGGGGUCAAGUUUUCCAGAGGGCUUUGGGUCAUCUAUCAUGUCGAGGCUUUUGCUUUGUGCUUGCACUUCCCGGGUCGAUUGUUGCUCCUUGAUGCCCUGUGUUGGGCUCAAGUCAGUGGUGGCCAUUUCUGUUUUUUUCUGAAGAUUUCAAAGCCUGAUGUUCCCUUCCCCUCCUCCACAAGUUUCUUUUUUCCUUACCUGCAUCUCAGUACUAUACAAAUAUUUUUCUGCUGUCGGCUGGAUCACUGAUCUAACAGCCCGUGAGCUGCAAAGCUUCAAAAACAUGGUUGGAUUUGCAUUCUCUAGCUCGAGCCCGCAGCCAUUACAAAGCCCUAUUUUGUCUGCGUCACGGAAAAGCAGCACAGUUCGCCGAACCUCGUUCUGCAGCCUUCUCGCAACCACUUGUGCUGGCAGAAUCCGGCCACAGGAUGGCAAUGUGUGUAUGGAGCCAUGCAGACUGCCUCGCCGCCCGGCCCAGAGGCGCGGGACGAGGCUGAAGUGGAAAGUUAAGUCUCAAGGAAAAGAAAAGCAAUUGCAAAAUGGGAAUGGAAACCUUGGUCCGUCUGGUGUUUGUUUGAGCACUGUCAGGCAGAAGUCUGUGCAAAAAGAGCAGAGGGUCCAUCUUGAAGAUCACUAAGAAAAGCCUGGAGUUUGUUGCCAAAGGUGAUGACAAUGAUUCACAAAAAAGUGUCAAUUUCUGUGGAGAUUACCGCUAUGGAAACUAAAGAGAAAAAGAAAGCAAGAAGUCUACAUAUGAUGCUGGAAACUUCCUGGUCCUACUGCUGCCAAUCUACGAAAUUCAGAUCACUGGCCCAGUGAUGAUGAUCUUCUCACUACUGUCACAGUUGCCUUGAGAAGUUCCCACAGGAGAAGCCAGAUAAUGUGUGGAAAAGAAUAGAGCAGGCUGGAACUGGAAGGGAAGUUGAAAAGCACCCAUGCAUCUGUGGACGAGGGGAUCACAGCCUGUGGCAGAGCACCUCAGCUUCCCUCGCUCUUGGAUGUGUUCAUCACACUGAACCCACAGCCCCAUGUGGGAUGCAGAGUAAUGCCCAUUGCAUAUGUACCAACGAAGUUAUAGACGUCAAGAGAGACCGUUUGUUUAUUUUAUCAAGAUCAUCUCCGGCAGUAUUUGAUUUCUCAUCAAACUUAUUUGCGCUCUCCCUCAACUUCAUGGAGAUCUCAGUUCCAUUCUCUAAAUUGUCUAGAAAACACCAUCUUGUAUAGGUCAGGCAUACUAUGGAUUCUGGACUCUUGGCAAUAUUUGUCCUUCUAUUUUGACAGUGAAUUAAUGUUAUCUGCUGUAUCAGUAUGAUUUUUUCAGUUGAUUUUGCACACAUUUGAUAUUAGAUUCUUUCAAAGAGUCAUUGUCAACAGUGUUGAGAACACAUCAAUUAUAGGUGUGGUACUCAAAAGCAAACAAGACUUUAUAUGUAUUGAGAGAACAUAACGUACAACAAUUACUGGUUUUCCUUCAAUCCACAGGUCCACUCAAUAGCUAAAAAAAGAAAUUAAAUUGGAUCUUGACAAAUCCAUAGAUUGAUUCAAAAAUCCAGGUGUGCUUUUUUCCUUCCUUUGUAAUCCUUGCAAAUUGUCAUAAAAAGCCACUUUUGGCUACUUCUCCAUAACUCCAAACAACUGAGUUAAACUGGUUAGUCAAUAAUUCUUUGGCCUCCUUUUCAAGGUAUGUCAUAUUUGCUUUUAUCUGCUUUUGAGUACUUCACCCAAAAAUCACGUAUUCUGUGAGACCACCAUCAAUGGUUACAGGAGUAGAUCACCCAGUUGCUGAAGCAUUCCAGGAUGAAAGUUAGUUCUUUGGAAUCAACAGAUAAGAAAAUGUGAAGCCAAGCAAAGUGCUCUCUAACCUAUCUUUGUCUGAGGGACGGAUUAUUUCCUUUGCUAUUGAUUUUAAUUGUAGAAGCCACUUUUUAGGGAAUAUUGAUUAAAGAAAUAAAAAAAGAAAAGCAUUAUGUAUAUUACCUUCC
Molecule: long non-coding RNA, 2818 nt
Organism: Phasianus colchicus (ring-necked pheasant)
Lineage: Eukaryota; Metazoa; Chordata; Aves; Galliformes; Phasianidae
Source: Ensembl